GACGAACGCUGGCGGCGUGCUUAACACAUGCAAGUCGAACGGAAAGGCCCUGCUUGCAGGGCGCUCGAGUGGCGAACGGGUGAGUAACACGUGGGUGAUCUGCCCCUUACUUUGGGAUAAGCCUGGGAAACUGGGUCUAAUACUGGAUAGGACCAUGCUGUAGGUGGUGUGGUGGAAAGAUUAGUUUCGGUAAGGGAUGAGCUCGCGGCCUAUCAGCUUGUUGGUGGGGUAAUGGCCUACCAAGGCGUCGACGGGUAGCCGGCCUGAGAGGGUGGACGGCCACAUUGGGACUGAGAUACGGCCCAGACUCCUACGGGAGGCAGCAGUGGGGAAUAUUGCACAAUGGGCGCAAGCCUGAUGCAGCGACGCCGCGUGGGGGAUGACGGCCUUCGGGUUGUAAACUCCUUUCAGCCAUGACGAAGCCCUUGUGGUGACGGUAGUGGUAGAAGAAGCACCGGCUAACUACGUG
Molecule: ribosomal RNA, 469 nt
Filed under: uncultured bacterium
Lineage: Bacteria
Description: partial 16S ribosomal RNA
Rfam family: Bacterial small subunit ribosomal RNA
Source: RNAcentral